Long non-coding RNA from Papaver somniferum (opium poppy), 1542 nucleotides. RefSeq lists it as uncharacterized. The record is from RefSeq and is a predicted model, not a curated record. Lineage: Eukaryota; Viridiplantae; Streptophyta; Magnoliopsida; Ranunculales; Papaveraceae. The transcript has 2 exons.
AUUACAUGGAAUGGACUACUCGAGUGUGUCAUUCGGAUACCGGAUAAAGAAAAUAUCUUCAGAUAUGUAUGAAGGGUAAAAUCAUCAUUUCUUGGAAAACGCUAUUGAUGCAAGCAGACACGUUGUGGCUUCUCUUAUCAAAGCAAGUCGGUGUCCUAGUAAUUUCUUUAGCCUUUUCUUCACCAAAACCCGAUCGAAAAAUUCAUUCUUCUUCUUCUUUCUUCUUCUUUCUUCCUUUCUCUUCUGCUUCUCUUCUCUUAUGUUCUUCGUUUUCUUUUCUUCUCUGAAGCGUGUUUAUGAAUCGAGUACGUUGGUCAUGAAGAGAUUUGUAAACUUGGUGAAGCUUGGCAGGUGUUGAAGUUGAUUAAGCUUUGGAGAACAAGAAAUAGAUGAUGUUGUUAUAAUUGGAAUUAGGGUUAUAAAGUUGAAUUAGGUUCUGAAGAUUUAAGAGAUGAAAUUAGAGCUAUGGUUGGAUGAAGAAUCAUGGGUUUAGGUUCAAUUGAAGUUCUGAAAUUGUCUUGGAGAUGAACCGAGAACUAGGUUUUCUGAAUCUAGGUUCGAGAUUCGAUUAAAGAUGAAUUAGAAGAUGAAAUCGAUAUUUAGAAGAUUGAUUGACCUGAAUUAGAGUUUGGGUUUGACGAAUAGAUCAAAAUCAGUAGUUAGGGUUUGAUUAGAUUUUAAUGAAGGUUGUUGGAUAUUGGUUGUGGUGAACUGACAGAUAAGGGAGGAGGUUUUAAUGGUUUGUUUGAGUGAAAUCUUCUCAAGGUAAUUGUUUUUCAGUUAAUUAGUGAAAUUAUUCAUUGCUGAUUCUAUAUGAUGAUUUAUGAGAUGAUGAAUCCCAGAUGGGUUUAAUUAGAUUGAAGUUGGAACUGAUUGUAUGGGUUUUUAGUGACUGUGUUGUUGUAAUUUGAUGAUAGUUGAAGUUGAUCGAAUUUUGGGAAUGAAAUUGAGAAAAUUUCAGAGAAGAUUGAAAGGAUGAAAUUGAUGUUUUAGGAAGGUGAUUUGAGAUUGAGAAAACCAGAGAGUAUUUGAUGUUGGUGGUGCCGUUUCAAAGUUUGACUCGAACUCAGAGGAGAUUAGAAUUAGGGGUUCGAAGCUGGGAUCGAUUGAAGCUCAUGAAUGAAGCUGUGAAUAGAAUUAAGAUUGUUCAUAAGAAGAAGAUGGAUUGUUAUGAGUGAUGAACUGGCUGGUGUUUGAGUAAUUGAGUUUGAGGAAUGAAGAUGAUGCAUGGAUUGAUUAAUUAGUUGUGUGUUGUUGGCAAUGAUAUGUUGAGGAGUAGAAGUUCAUGUAAUUGUGGAAUUGGGAUAAUGAAUGUAGGUUGUGAACAAAGUGAAGUGAUAAUGUACUGUUCUUGCUGAGAUUGUGGUGUAGGUGGAGGUUCUGUAGUUGUUGUGAGUUGCCAGGAAGCGUUGUAGUUGUUGUAGUUAUGGCUUGAUGGCAGUCUCUAUGAAGGCUUGCUUCUGCUCUUGUAGGUAAGUUGUAUGUCUUUGUAAAUCAAUUUGGAGUUAUGAACUGAAAUGAAAUAGAUUGAAAUUGAGCUGA